CAUAACUUUUCACGGGACUUGAAGGCUUACGAGGGUAGCGAUCACCAACAGCAUAAGUUUUUGGGGGGCUUGAAGGCCUACCAACAGCGUAACUUUUUGCGGGGCUUGAAGGCCUACCAACAGCGUAACUUUUUGCGGGGCUUGAAGGCCUACCAACAGCAUAACUUUUGGGGGGGCUUGAAGGCCUACCAACAGCAUAACUUUUUGGGGGGCUUGAACGCCUACCAACAGCAUAGCUUUUGGGAGGGCUUGAAGGCCUACCAACAGCAUAACUUUUGGGGGGGCUUGAAGGUCUACCAACAGCAUAACUUUUUGGGGGGCUUGAACGCCUACCAACACCAUAGCUUUUGGGGGGGCUUGAAGGCCUACCAACAGCAUAACUUUUUGGGGGACUUGAAGGCCUACGCGGGUAUUGAUCACCAACAGCGUAACCAUAAUUUUUUGGGGGGCUUGAAGGCCUAUGCAGCUUGGGAUCAGCAACAGCAUAACCAUACCCUUUCGCAGGGCUUGAAGGAGGGCUAGAAGGCCUACGCCAGUCAUCAGCAUACCCGUAUUCGUUUGCAGGUGAGAGAAUAC
This 576-nucleotide long non-coding RNA is filed under the name Malus domestica (apple). RNAcentral's name for it is "long non-coding RNA (MDOM_LNC011668)". The record is from RNAcentral. Lineage: Eukaryota; Viridiplantae; Streptophyta; Magnoliopsida; Rosales; Rosaceae.